This 200-nucleotide unclassified non-coding RNA is filed under the name Chrysosporium sp. RNAcentral describes it as "partial internal transcribed spacer 2". The record is from RNAcentral. Lineage: Eukaryota; Fungi; Ascomycota; Eurotiomycetes; Onygenales; Onygenaceae.
UUAAGUUCAGCGGGUAUCCCUACCUGAUCCGAGGUCAACCUUGGUGUGUGUGUAGACAGGGUCUACGGUCGAGGCCAGCGCCGGCCGGGCCACUAGAGCGGGUGAUAAAGCCCAUACGCUCGGGCACCGGAGCACGGUACCGCCACUGCCUUUCGGGCCCGUCCACGGGGGACGAGGCCCAACACGCAAGCCGCGCUUGA